This 75-nucleotide transfer RNA is filed under the name Rhodospirillaceae bacterium. RNAcentral's name for it is "tRNA-Thr". It matches the Rfam family "tRNA". Rfam says of the family: Transfer RNA (tRNA) molecules are approximately 80 nucleotides in length. Their secondary structure includes four short double-helical elements and three loops (D, anti-codon, and T loops). Lineage: Bacteria; Pseudomonadati; Pseudomonadota; Alphaproteobacteria; Rhodospirillales; Rhodospirillaceae. RNAcentral also lists the same sequence under 10 other names. The record is from RNAcentral.
GCCGCCGUAGCUCAGGGGUAGAGCACACCCUUGGUAAGGGUGGGGUCGCGUGUUCAAUUCACGCCGGCGGCACCA